GAUAGAAAAUGAUGUUGUCAUAUACCUUCCCAAUGUCGGUCUAUGCAAAACCAAUUAGACUCAAGAGGUACUUGAUAAGCUUAGCCAAAUAUUGAGUCGCAUCGACGGGAGGUACAUCAUGAUCAUAAAUAUUAGUCAAUUUGAUAGCCAUGAAUCAAGCAAUUAUCAAGUUUCUUAGAUAACAGAGUAGAUUUUGACUCGUUUGCUUUAUCUCAUAGCUGCACAUUUAACAUAAUGACAAUCAUGAAAAAGCAUCAACCACAACCAACGCCAUCACUCCUCUUACAGCCAAUUGAUAACCAUAGAUCAGGCACUUAUAAUGUUUUUUGGACAAUAAAGUAGAAUUAAUUUAUGUGCUUUGUCUCAAAGACAUGCAUUUGAUUUGAAUUUCUUUAUCUACACCCACAUGCCCACAAGAAUGAAAGCAAGUUUCUUG
This 436-nucleotide long non-coding RNA is filed under the name Manihot esculenta (cassava). RNAcentral's name for it is "long non-coding RNA (MESC_LNC001943)". Lineage: Eukaryota; Viridiplantae; Streptophyta; Magnoliopsida; Malpighiales; Euphorbiaceae. The record is from RNAcentral.